UAAUGUAUGGGGAUCUGCCCGAUAGAGGGGGGUAACUACUGGAAACGGUGGCUAAUACCGCAUAAUGUCUACGGACCAAAGCAGGGGCUCUUCGGACCUUGCACUAUCGGAUGAACCCAUAUGGGAUUAGCUAGUAGGUGGGGUAAAGGCUCACCUAGGCGACGAUCUCUAGCUGGCCUGAGAGGAUGAUCAGCCACACUGGGACUGAGACACGGCCCAG
RNAcentral lists this ribosomal RNA (220 nucleotides) under uncultured bacterium. RNAcentral's name for it is "partial 16S ribosomal RNA". It matches the Rfam family "Bacterial small subunit ribosomal RNA", at positions 111 to 334 of the family's 1533-position model. The record is from RNAcentral.